UAAAGUAAUAACAGGAAAACAAAACAAAAC
This 30-nucleotide non-coding RNA is filed under the name Mus musculus (house mouse). Lineage: Eukaryota; Metazoa; Chordata; Mammalia; Rodentia; Muridae. The record is from RNAcentral.